ACUCCUACGGGAGGCAGCAGUGGGGAAUAUUGGACAAUGGGCGCAAGCCUGAUCCAGCCAUGCCGCGUGAGUGAUGAAGGCCCUAGGGUUGUAAAGCUCUUUCACCGGUGAAGAUAAUGACGGUAACCGGAGAAGAAGCCCCGGCUAACUUCGUGCCAGCAGCCGCGGUAAUACGAAGGGGGCUAGCGUUGUUCGGAUUUACUGGGCGUAAAGCGCACGUAGGCGGACUAUUAAGUCAGGGGUGAAAUCCCGGGGCUCAACCCCGGAACUGCCUUUGAUACUGGUAGUCUUGAGUUCGAGAGAGGUGAGUGGAAGUCCGAGUGUAGAGGUGAAAUUCGUAGAUAUUCGGAGGAACACCAGUGGCGAAGGCGGCUCACUGGCUCGAUACUGACGCUGAGGUGCGAAAGCGUGGGGAGCAAACAGGAUUAGAUACCCGUGUAGUCCCAUGA
RNAcentral lists this ribosomal RNA (449 nucleotides) under uncultured organism. RNAcentral's name for it is "partial 16S ribosomal RNA". It matches the Rfam family "Bacterial small subunit ribosomal RNA", at positions 335 to 800 of the family's 1533-position model. The record is from RNAcentral.